UCAAAUGAUACAAGUCUAAAAAUAUACCCCAUGAUACAAAACUUAAACCUUAUACAAAUUAUUACAUAUAUAAAUAUAACUUGGUGACACCACUGCAAUCAACAAAAAUGAGACUUCUAAAAUAAAAAAAUGCACCAGAAUAAACCAUACUAUAAUAAAUACAAUUAAAUUAAUAAUAUACAAAUAGCAGGAUUAAAAAAACCAACAAGAAGUAUUCACAAAUGACAAAACCAGCUACUUAUAACAUGUAUUUGUUUCGGGUACAUAUAUGUUGUCUCGCAAGUUGUGUUACAACACGUGCCAUCAACUGUGAUUGGUCAGAAAAAUAAUUAAUUAUUAUUUUUUUAACUUAAAUAUAUUUUUUCAACCAAUGAUAAACUAGUGGUACAUGAAGUGCACAACUUGUGCGAUAGUGCUCCCAUUUGUUCCACACCAAAUAAGCCUGUUGUCUGUACUUCCUUGGGGGCAAAGAUACCAUGUCUAAACUGAGACAAAAAAAUGACAAACAGUUAAGCACUCCAAAACAUCUUAUAUAUUUUAUAAUUAAUAUUAGGGAUUGUAAAAUGUUUGUAAUAUAAAUGUUUUUUUUAUCAACCAAAGUGGAUUAGAGCAAAUUUAUCUAGUAGGUAUAGUCCACGACAAAGGAAGUCAUGGUUCCUACCCACGAUAUUGGUGAACCAAGGUGAUCCCAUAGACAUGGUCCACGAGUUAUGGAGAGAGAAAUUCUAUAAAAAAGAUAACUUAUGAAUAUCAUUCACAAGUCCUGCAAGGAAAUUAAUUAACAAAUAACUCGUACCUAACAUGCACGAGUUCAACAAAAAAAAUAUUAUACUAAUUUUCCUAAAAUUGUUAUAAAAAAAUCAAAAUACACCCUAAAUUUUCCUAAAUAAAGGUGGAAAUAUAAGAUGUCUGGCCUAUUUAACAUAUUACAACUCAUGUAUACAUCUAACCUCUUUAAAAGUGUGUGACUUGUUAGUAGUAUAAAACCUUGACAUUUAAAUAUGUAAAUAGACCUUUAAAUAAGUUAAUAAGUUUGUUUUUAAAUAGAGUAACAAGUUUGUUUUACAAAUCUAUCCUCCAAACUCUCAAUACUAAAUUGGCUAUAUGAUUUACAUAUUUUUUAUUUAGUUUAUUUAUAUAUUAUAUAAAUUAAUUAAUAUACAUAUAUAAUAAAAUUAUAUAGGUUAGUCUAUUACAUGUUUCUACCCUUAUCUAUAAAAAUGGUGUCCCUUUAGUGUCUAAUACAUAAAACAUUACUCUUUUUCUUAUUGCCUUAAAUAUAAACACUUAGGCCUUGUUUCCUAAUAUAUAUAUAUAUAUAUAUAUUCAACAGUUUAAGCUGUAAACUUCCAAAUUUAAUCAAGUUGAAACAUUUUUUUCUGUCUUUUAAUAAUCUGGUUGAGGGCUUAUGAAUUAAUUGAUUAUAAUUUCCAUUUCAUUUAAAGUUUGCAGAAGACAAAGUGUAUCCUUUAUUAUUGGUUUACCUGCUUAAUAAGGAGUAUAGUCUGAAUAUAGGGGUCCCUACAAUAAACAAACUUGACAUAUGAUAGCCAUUUUAAAGGCAAAGAAACAAAAUAUAACCAAUCAAACCAUAACCAUAGAAAAGCUUCACAUACCUUGAAUGGUAUUUAAUUUUGCUGCAUUAUUUCAUGUAUCAUAUCUAUUAUACCUGUGCAUCUUUGUGAUGGUGACAGAAGAAGAGAGAGCACACUCUCAACAAAACCAAAUUCUCUUUGGUUAUUCCUGGAUUGUGCUCUCUCUCUUCUGUCAACAACAUGAGAUUUAUAUUCAUAUCUCAUCAUCACAUGCAUUCAUUCAUCUGCACUUUCUCUUCAUUAUAAACAAAAAUGGUAUCAGAUAUUAUUAUAUUGCACCAUACAUGUAUGAUUUAUAGAGAGAAAGAUAGAUAUAUAGAGGUGUGUAAGCUUAUGAUAAACGGUAGUGUUGUUAUUUCAACCAUCUAACAAAUCAAAUUAUAUAUAUAUAUUUCUAUAAAAACUCAUCUAAAAAUAAUAAAAAACAAUUUAAAUAUUUGACAUAAGCAAAAUAGUGUGAAACAAUUUAAACUCAUAAAUCAGUGUUUGACUUUGUAAUAUAAAAAAUAUAACUUGGCCACUACAUAGGAAUAUUUUGAAUUACACACUCAGAUAAGUAUUUGACAUAAGCAAAAUAGUGUGAAUCAUAGAAAUUUUUUACUGUCUUUUAAUAAUGCUUUAAUUAAGUAUCAAAUGAUUAAUAAUAUUAUCAAAGGAUAAGUGGCUCUGUGUAAGGUUCAAAACAAGAAAACCUUGUACUUUAUAUCUCAUAACUCUACCAACUAAACAAUUAAACUUAUUCUUGAAACCUCUUAGGAUUACUUGAUCUUAAAAUUCACCCUCAAAGCUUGCAUUUUAAACAACCAUCUAUUUCUUCACAAUAGAUCCCAGAUCUUGUUUGUAAAAAUAUUAAAUACAUAUAUACCUAAUAUUUAUACACGCACCCACUGACAUAUAUAACAUUAGGAAUUAUGUUUAUAGAUUAUAUGUAUAAGUACAUUUAUAUGUCAAGGGUACGGAUACAAUCUUCAAUAAUGAUUAUAAACAUCUCAGAUCUAAUACAAAUGUGUAAAAAUAAAAAGAAUAAUAUGAUAUGUACAUAGAUUAAUGCAUGCAUGAUGGGUUAUUAUUGAAACAAGAAUUAAUGUUGAAGCAUGAAUUCAUCACCUGAUGCAUAUAUAUAUUCAUGUCUCUCCACCCAAAAUCAGCAACACUGAUUAUAUAUUUGUUGAACUUUCUAGACAUCAUGCAUGAGAUGAUAGGUUCAGGGCAAUAAGAUCCAACACAAAGGAAACAAUGGGAAUAGAUGGCAACAAAAAAAUUCUAAAGAAGGAGAUUUAUAAUGGAAAUGGAAAAAGAUAUGAAGUAUUUUUUUUUUUAUAUUAUUAUUAUUAUUUUUGGGUGGAAAAAGAAGAUGAAGGUUUGAGAGGAAAGGUAGAAAAACGUAUGAAACAAAA
This 2992-nucleotide long non-coding RNA is filed under the name Lupinus angustifolius (narrow-leaved blue lupine). RNAcentral describes it as "long non-coding RNA (LANG_LNC000385)". Lineage: Eukaryota; Viridiplantae; Streptophyta; Magnoliopsida; Fabales; Fabaceae. The record is from RNAcentral.